Molecule: unclassified non-coding RNA, 269 nt
Filed under: plant metagenome
Description: partial contains small subunit ribosomal RNA, internal transcribed spacer 1, and 5.8S ribosomal RNA
Source: RNAcentral
UUUCCGUAGGUGAACCUGCGGAAGGAUCAUUAAUGAGUUGUCAUGGGGUUCGAUGCUGGCAGCCAAUUUUUGGAUGCAUGUGCUUGCCCUAACAAUCAUCUUCCAAACACCUGUGCACAUUUUUGAGGGAGUCUUGAGUUGGUUGCCGCUCUUGGGUGAUUUUCUCACAUUCCCUUAAAUCAUUAUACGCUAUUAACAAUGUUGAACGUGCUCUGUGCCGCAAGGCCAUUAAUAUAAUGCAACUUUUAACAACGGAUCUCUUGGCUCUC